UAACAAGGUUUCCGUAGGUGAACCUGCGGAAGGAUCAUUACCGAGUUGAUUCGAGCUCCGGCUCGACUCUCCCACCCAAUGUGUACCUACCUCUGUUGCUUUGGCGGGCCGCGGUCCUCCGCACCGGCGCCCUUCGGGGGGCUGGCCAGCGCCCGCCAGAGGACCAUAAAACUCCAGUCAGUGAACUUCGCAGUCUGAAAAACAAGUUAAUAAACUAAAACUUUCAACAACGGAUCUCUUGGUUCUGGCAUCGAUGAAGAACGCAGCGAAAUGCGAUAAGUAAUGUGAAUUGCAGAAUUCAGUGAAUCAUCGAAUCUUUGAACGCACAUUGCGCCCCUUGGUAUUCCGAGGGGCAUGCCUGUUCGAGCGUCAUUUCAACCCUCAAGCUCUGCUUGGUAUUGGGCCCCGUCCUCCACGGACGCGCCUUAAAGACCUCGGCGGUGGCGUCUUGCCUCAAGCGUAGUAGAAAACACCUCGCUUUGGAGCGCACGGCGUCGCCCGCCGGACGAACCUUUGAAUUAUUUCUCAAGGUUGACCUCGGAUCAGGUAGGGAUACCCGCUGAACUUAAGCAUAUCAAU
RNAcentral lists this ribosomal RNA (579 nucleotides) under Neofusicoccum parvum. RNAcentral describes it as "eukaryotic LSU rRNA". The stretch from base 219 to 372 matches the Rfam family "5.8S ribosomal RNA". The record is from RNAcentral. Lineage: Eukaryota; Fungi; Ascomycota; Dothideomycetes; Botryosphaeriales; Botryosphaeriaceae.